Long non-coding RNA from Dermochelys coriacea (leatherback sea turtle), 6458 nucleotides. RefSeq lists it as uncharacterized. The transcript is spliced from 2 exons. NCBI's taxonomy places the organism in Eukaryota, Metazoa, Chordata, Testudines, Dermochelyidae. The record is from RefSeq and is a predicted model, not a curated record.
AGCAGGGCAUCACCUGAUGUGUGGAGCAGGCAUGGCCACCUGGAAAGAUUCACUGAGACCAGUGCACGCAUCACCAAGCAAACAGGAAGGGGACUUUCAAAAUUCCCAAGGAAUUUAAGGGGUGGGGCUGAUGGUUGGUCACCUGAGGGCAGGGCAGUAGAGUUCAAACCGAGGACCAGAGAGGUGAGAACAGGCAUUGUGGGACACCUCCCAGAGGACCACUGCAGCGCUGUAAUUGACCACGAUGUCUGCCCUAGCACCGCAGCGCUGUAGCCCCGGCGCAGAAAGCUGUACACCUCUUGUUGGGUUGUUUUUUUUUUUUUUUAAAGCACUACAACUGCGCAGUUUCUGUGCACUAAGUGGUUUGGCAGUGUGUAAAGCUUGGGAGUUAUAGCGCAGAAAGCUGCUUUACUGCUCAGAAACUUGCCAGUGUAGUCAGGGCCCCAAGAGCUAGGGAUUCUGCCUUAUACCACUUCCCAAAGAUCAGUGGCAACUUGUCAACUCCCUCUCUCCACUGCUCAAGCAAAAGCAGAAAAAGAAUGAAAGGUGAUAAGCCUCCAGGAAUACAGAACUUAACACCUAUAUGGGAGGUGAUAACUGCCCUAUAACAAAAAGAUUAUCACAGUGGAAUCCAAUCUAUGAAUAGACUGAAGCUUCACUUGUAUGUACUGUAUUAUGAAAGGUUUCAGAGUAGCAGCCAUGUUAGUCUGUUUCUGCAAAAAGAUGAAGUGAGCUGUAGCUCAAGAAAGCUUAUGCUCAAAUAAAUUUGUUAGCCUCUAAGGUGCCACAAGUACUCCUUUUCUUUUUGUCUAUUAUGAAAGUUAUCCAUUUUUGAGAAGAGGUGAACCAGUUCAGCUGCACCCAUCAUUGAUACCACCAACCACCAAUUUUUGUAAUACAGACAUAACUUAAGAGAAUACAUGGUUUUCUGGGUUCUUCUGUUUUCCAAAUUAACGUUCAUGAAAUUAAAAUUUAAUUUCUGUCCUUAGGAGAAAUUUUGCAGCUUAUGAGACUUCUCUCUGCUAUGCUAUCCAAAAGAAACGUUUUACCUAUUUCAUUGUGCAAACAGAAGUACUUUGGGAAUCCUACUUUGCCACACAACAUGGGGCUUGAAAUGAAUGCAGGCUAUCUGGGAAAAAUGCCAGAUGUCAGUUAAAAGAUCUCUUAUUAGCCUGCAAGUAAAGCACACACAAAUAUUUGCCAGCAUGGUUUUGUACUAAAGGGUUAUAAAACUAGAAGGGUUUAGGACAUUUACAAUCCCAAGAGGUCCACAUACCAGUAGAAAAGCUAUUAGCUGGAAACUUAACAGAAAAACAAAAAGAAAAGGAGUACUUGUGGCACCUUAGAGACUAACUAAUUUAUUAGAGCAUAAGCUUUCAUGAGCUACAGCUCACUUCAUCGGAUGCAUUUGGUGGAAAACAAAAAGAAAAACAGUUUCACAGGCCCCAUCCAUACUGAGGAUUUUGGGGGAUUUCUAACUGGUUAGGUCCUCAGAAUACACAAAGAAAGUGAAACUUUUCCUACCAUAUAUGCUACCCUUCCAGAUUUCUGAUUCAAGAAUCUUACAAGCAUUUUAACAUGAAACAGACAAGUAGAAUGAGCAAGUAUUUUUGUAGUUAAAGGGAGGGAGGGAGGGAGAGUCGGGCAUUAGACUGAGUCAAAUACUGAAUUCUGUUCGCAGCUCUGCCAAUGACUCACUUGUGACUUUACGAAGUUACAACCUUGCUAUGACUCAGAUUUCCCAACUGUGAAGUGGCAAUCAUGCUUAUAACUUUUGUGAAGCACUCUGAUAACUACGGAUCAAGUUGUUACUCAUCUGUAAGGCUGCCAAUCUUUCAUGGAGGUCACGGAAGUCACGGAUUUCGUGACUUUCUGGGAUUUCUGCAGAAACUAUGCCCCCCUGGAACAGCAGUGGCAAGGUCCCAGGCCUCUUCCCACCUCCAGAAGCGGCACCGUCCGCUCGAGUGCGUGCACGCACAUGCGCACACACUCUCCUCCAUAGCAGGUAAGAGAUAGUUAAGGGAAUUUUUAGUAAAAGUCAUGGACAGGUCACUGGCCAUGACUUUUUGGUUAUUGCCCGUAAUGUGUCCGUGACUUUUACUAAAAAUACCCAUGACUAGACCAUAGCCUUACUCAUCUGUUAUAGAUAGAGCUCAUAGCACCACUUAUUAGUUAAGGUUGCCCGAUACGUUCCACUGAAUAAUUAAGUUAGACAAACAAUUCAGACUGAAGUUUUCCAUGCCAAGUAUCUGCCUCAAGCUGAUUUGGGUGGUCCCCCCUCCCAAUUUUGAACAAAAAUGAUCCAGCCAUUUCUGAAAAAGAAGUUAAGGAAAAAAUGUUGUUUUGUCCACGUUUAAAAAAAAAAAAAUCACCACAACCAUUUAAUUGAGAAGCUGUAGUACCUCCAUGACUUAGGAGCAGGGAAUUUAAAUUUGGCAAUGGAGGGUGGGGGGCUCACCCUGGGACCAGGGGUGUGCUUUUUUGUCAUUCAUGUGAAAAACUGCCCAAGUUUGGCCCUGUUACAAGCUCUUAAAAACAAACAAACAAACAAACAAAAACCUGUUUGGACAUGCUCAGUAAUAUCUUGUUAGGGUUUGGCAGCUAUAUUUUCUUAAUUUUUCUGGCAUCAGGGAUGCUCCAUAAACCAGAGCUACAAGGUUGAGCAGGACUUUCCUUGCAAUUGCUCCUCCUGGCAGCCAGGGCCACUGUGAUGCUAGGCACUAGAACAGUGAAAGGAGAUUCUUUCUUCAUUUGCUCUCAAUGUUCUUCCCCUCCGCAUUUGAGUCAAGACUGGGACUCAGCAGAGGGAAACUUGGACAAGGACCCUGGAUGCAGGGUGGACUGGGAUUAGGUAAGCAAGGAAGGCGGAGUUCUGUGGGGAAAAAAAUAAUAGAUGAUCAUGUAAUUAAAGUCUAUCAAAGUCUACUAUAACGCAAAUGCACAUGAAGAUCAAAUUAAAGUUGCACAGGCAAUCAUAAUUCUGUUUUUUCUUAGCUUUAAAGUGCUUGAUUUUGCAACCUUAACAUUCUUUUGAUGUAGUUUUUUAAUGUAACUUUUAGCAUCUGAUGACUCGGACCACAGAGAAAUGGAGUCAAACUCUGGAAAGUCGCUUUUUGAGAACAAGUGAAUAGCUUAUUUUAAAACCACUAGGCUUUACAUAAUCAGUCAAGUUGAAACUGGUUAAAAAAAAAGAGAUCUAACAACUCGAGAACUUGCAAAAAGGAGCCCCAAACAUGUACACAGUGUCACUGUUGGUGUUGUCUUUAGGUCACGUACUAUCAAUUGAAGUGACUGCGAAGCGUCCACUGUCAGGAAAGCUUUAGCCAAACUGAAAUUGAGCAGAGAUCCUGUGAACUCUAUCGUCACUGUUGAUGCAAGGAACGACUUCUCAUAGUUCACCAGUAGUCCCAAGUAGGAGAACAGAGAGAGGAUACAAUCUAAGCCUGUUCCAGUCUCCUCCCAGGAGGUGCCUCUGAUCAGCUACUAGUUCAGAUAUCACCAAAUUUGGAUUCCCUAAGGAAUCCCUGUGAAUUCCUUAGGUGAGCCACUAUUAUGCCCAGACAAUUGGUGAAAACUUCUCAGUGUCAUGAAGAGUCUGAAGGGCAGAACUCUGUAUCAGUAAUGGUUUGGCUCCACUCUGGACAUUAGGUACCUCCUGUGGGCUGGAUGGAUAGCUAUACGGAAGUACACAUCCUGCAAGCUAAGCACUACAAACAAGUCUUGAGCUUGGAGUGACAGAACGACCGAGUCAAGCGUUACCAUUCUGAACCUGAGACUGCAUAUGUAUUUGUUGAGUCUACUCAGGCCUAAGAUAGGAUGAAGAUCUCCCUUUUUAUUUUCAGAAUGAGGAAAUAUAAGAAAAAGAAGCUUCUUCCCUAAAAUUCCUGAAGAACCUGCUCUACGGCUCCUAUUAAAACCAAUGAGACUACUUUUGUUAGUAAUAGGCUCGUGAGAAGGGUCCUUGAAGAGGAAUGGUGAUGGGAAUAGGAAGUAGUGAGUGCAACUGGAGGGGGUAGCCUUGGGCAAUAAUCUCCAACACCCGUCUAUCUGAUGUUACAGCAGACCAUGCCUGAUGGAAUGGGGUGAUGUGGCUUCUGAAUGUUGAGAUCCAUGGACUCAUUCUCAUGCAGCUCAUGACCACCUCAUCAAUUCUGCGAUGAGUCAUCACAACUGGUCAAGGAAGGCUGUCACUCCCUAUUGUACCUCAGACAUUUCCUGCCAUAGUACUUGUCUGUCUGUAGUAAGGUGAGGCACCCUGUCUGCUGUAGCAUGGUUGAGGGUGGUAUGCCUUUGAUAGGGCAGGUGAGUAUAAAUUCCCAAGGAGCAUGAUGUCUCCUUGGAAUCUUUCAAGUGAGUGUAGGGUGCUAUCGGUCCAUCUGCUGAACAGUUCCAAGCCCUCAGAGAGCAAGUCCUGACAUGUGGCUGGUACCCCAUGAGGAAUGACUGAAGGUUGGAGCCACCAGACUCUCUGCACUGUCACCUCCAUGGCCAUAGAUCAGGCUGUGGUGUGUAUCGCUGCCUGCAAGCACAUCAUGGCCACUAGUCAGCCUUCCUUUAUGAAGUCUUUCAGGUUCCUCUCUGCUUUCAUGAGGGAGGUUUGCCACAAAGGGCAUUACCAUGUUCCCCAUGAAGAUGCAGUUGGCCAGCAGCACCUGGCAGUUGGCCACUUAAGUGGUGUAAAGCCAAAGAGAGCACCUUUCUUCCAAAUGCUUCUACAUUUGGGAUCCUGGUCUUGGUAGAUUUUGACUUCUGAUGUCUAACAUGACUAGGGAACCAAGGUUAGGAUGGGCGCAAGCGUAUUCUAACCAUGAGGGUCUCUGAUACCAUUUCAACCAUUUGGUUGAACCAUUGGUGUUAUAGUAACCUUGUGGCUAGCCCUUGCCAGAUCUAGGCAAUCCCAACAGGACCAGCAGCCAACAAAAUGUCAAACAGUUUGUGAGAUUUUUCAGAGAUGACUGAAGUCUCAAUGUCCAAGGUGUCUGAAAUCCAUACCACGAGCUCCUGAAAAGCCUUGAAAUCACCUAGUGCUGGUGUCAAUGCUACCGCUUUGUUCAGGGAAGAUAAAAAGAGGUCCUUAGGCAGUGAGAGUGAUCAUUCAGUUUCUGAAUCUCACCCCUCUGUAUUUUGGUGACAAAGAUCUUGCCAGCCAAGACACAACAGAGGCAGACUUCUUCUGUGAAUGAGGGCACUGACUCCUAGAGGCCUGGGAAAGUGGGCCCCAAUAAUCCUAGUAGGGCCACUGUGGCACUCCAUACAUGUACAGAUAGUCAGCACUGAACCAGUGUUAAUCCCAACAGGCCACUGGUCAAGGUCUGGAUAGAUCCUUGGUUCUCUCAGCUCUAAUGCUUGAAGUCUUCAAUGGAGUAGGUCCAUGCUGGACCCCAAUGAAAAGGUGUGUACCGAGGAUGGCAACAAGUACACCUCCUUUGUAAUGCGAUGCCUGUUGGUAAAAUGUUUUCCAUGCCAAGGAUUACAUCAGUGCUGGUUUGUGACUCUUCCAGGAGUGGUUCCAGUGUGCUUCAAGUCUGUCCUGCUGGUGCCAGAGUCGACAUCAAUAGGAAUACUUCUGGUACCUGGCCCAGUGCCAGUGGGGUCUGCUGUGCUGCAGUCUGCUCCUUUCCACACAUCUUUGAUGCCAUGAGAGACUUGGGUGACAUAUCUCUGUGUUUUUCUGCAUCUCUACAAGUGGACACUGAGAUCCUGAACCAGUGAUUGGGGCAGCUCUUUUCAACACUUGCUUUGAUGUCCGAGUUGUCAGUUUCAACGCUAGGGGAAGUACCAGGGCCAAUCUGCCUUCUAUGCUGUGUCAUUUACCUCCUGGAUAAAGUGCUAGAAGAUGCGGGCUAGACCAUAAGAGGGGUCUUUGAAUUUGAUUUUUGUGGAUCUAAUGCUACUGUCAUAGACUGUUCCAGAAGAUGGAGCUUUAGUCUCAUACCUCUCAACUUCUGCCUCACCUGUCUGGAAUGUGGAACUCUCCCAAGCAGAAUAGGCAUCCAGCGCCCCUCUCUUUCAGGAAAAUUAUUCCAUCAUAGAAUGGCCCAGGCUUAAAGCCUGCAGGUUUUGAGUUGACCAUUUCUCAAUCCUCCUACAGGGAGGGUUGUACAGUGGGGUCCAUUCAGCAACUUUUGGCUCAACAAGUGCUAGAACAGACUGCAGUGAUUAAAAUCAAAGAAUGAAGGUAGUUCUGAGGAGUCUCAGAAGAUUUUAAGUCAUUUAACCAAAGCUAAAAUCUAGCAGGUUGGACACCAGGUAGGUUCCAUCUCACUACCUUGGGCAGUAAGAGAUGGAACUGAGGGAGAGUUGUGGCCGCCUCGCCCCUUAUGCCUUUGUACAGGAACAAGAGGAGGCAUAAGUAAGGUUAAGGUUUUGUCACGGACAUUUUUAGUAGAAGUCAGGGACUGGUCAUGGGCAAUAAUGAAAAAUUCACAGAGGCCCGUGACCUGUCCCUGACUUUUACU